CUCUGUCUCUGCCCCAAUUCCCUGUCCCACGCAAUCUCUCUCCCUCUGGCUCUCUCUGUCUCUGUGUGUCUCUCACUUUAUCACUUUUUUAAUUUCAAUAUUAUUAUAUUUUCCAAUUACAUGUGCAAAUUGUUUUCAACAUUCAUUUUUGUAAGAUUUUGAAUUCCAAAUAUCCCCCUCUCACCCUUACCUCCCCCCAAAAUAGCAAGCAAAGUGGUAUCCCUUGUACAUGUAUAAUCACUUUAAACAUAUUUCCAUACUAUUCAUGUUACACAAGAAAAAUCAGACCAAAAGGGAAAAAGCACAAGAAAGAAAAGAUGAACAAACCGAAAAGUUGAAAAUAAAAUUCUGUUAUCUACAUUCAGUCUCCUUAAUUCUCACUCCAGACAUGGAUGGCAUUUUCCAUCCCAAGUCUACUGGAAUUGCCAGAUCACCGUAUUGCUUAGGAGAGCUAACACAGCCCAUCGGAUUGAUCACAUAAUCUUGUAUCAUUUCUUAUUAGACAAUAAUAUUCCAUUCCAUUCAUAUACCAUAACUUAUUCAGCCAUUCACCAAUUGAUGUGAAAUCCCUCCAUUUCCAACCCCAAAAAGGACUGCUAUGAAAAUUUUUACAUAUGUGGGCCCUUUCCCUUCUUUUAUGAUCCCUUUGGAAGAAAAAAAAAAGCAGUAGUGAGACUGCUGGAUCAAAGGGGAUGCACAGUUUGAUAGCCCUUUGGUCAGAGUUCCAAAUUGCUUUCCAGAAUGGCUGAAUCAGUUCACAAAUCCACCAACAAUGCAUUAGUCUCACUUUCUGUCUGUCUGUCUCUCUCUCUCUGUCUCUUCUUUUUCUUCCUUCCCUCACCUUGUUCUCUUUCUGUCUUGAUAUCUCUCUCAUCUGAUUUCUCUCUCUCUUUUUAUCUCUAGGUCUUUCUCUCCUCAUCUGUCUCUCUUUCUCCCCACUUCACUUUUUAAAAUUUCAAUAGCAUUUUAUUUUUCCAGUUACACGUAAAGAUAGUUUGCAAUGUUCAUUUUUGUAACAUUCUGAACUGCAAAUUAUCCCCACUCUCUCCCUUACUUCCCCAAACACCAAGCAGUCUGACAUAGGGCAUACAUGUACAAUCAUUUUAAACAUAUUUCUAUAUCACGCAUCUUUUCAAGAAAAACCAGACCAAAAGGGAAAAACACAACAAAGGAAAAACCAACCAAAAGCUGAAAAUCCCCUUGAGCCAUCCACAUUCAAUUUCCAUACAUUUAGUAGCUAUUUUCCACCCCAAGUCCCCUGGAAUUACCCUGGGCCCCCGUCUUGCUCAGCAGGACCCAAGGCACAUCACAAGAUUGACCAGCACAUACAUAACCUUGUACCAUUUCUUAUUGAACAACGUUACAUUCAGACACCAUCACUUAUUCAGCCAUUCUCCAAUCGAUGGGAGUCCCCUCAAUUUUUACCCCUUUGCCAGCACAAAAAUGAAUGCUACAAACAUUUUUGAACAUGUGGAUCCUUUCCCCUCUUUUGUGAUCACAUAGGAAUAGAAACCCAGCAGUGACACUACUAAUUCAAAGGGUAUGCACAGUUUGGUAGCCCUUUGGGCAUGGUUCCAAAUUGCUCUUCAGAAUGACUGGAUCAGUUCACAAUUCCACCAAUAAUAUAUUAGCCUCAAUAACUCUUUCUCUUUGUUUGUGGGUUUCAUUCUCUCCUUCUACUUGUCAUUCUCCCUCUAUCUCUCUUUCUUAGUUCUUAUUUGCA
Long non-coding RNA from Sarcophilus harrisii (Tasmanian devil), 1723 nucleotides. The record is from Ensembl. NCBI's taxonomy places the organism in Eukaryota, Metazoa, Chordata, Mammalia, Dasyuromorphia, Dasyuridae.